UAGGGAAUCUUCGGCAAUGGGGGCAACCCUGACCGAGCAACGCCGCGUGAGUGAAGAAGGUUUUCGGAUCGUAAAGCUCUGUUGUAAGUCAAGAACGAGUGUGAGAGUGGAAAGUUCACACUGUGACGGUAGCUUACCAGCAAGUCACGGCUAACUACGUGCCAGCAGCCGCGGUAAUACGUAGGUGGCAAGCGUUGUCCGGAUUUAUUGGGCGUAAAGGGAACGCAGGCGGUCUUUUAAGUCUGAUGUGAAAGCCUUCGGCUUAACCGAAGUAGUGCAUUGGAAACUGGAAGACUUGAGUGCAGAAGAGGAGAGUGGAACUCCAUGUGUAGCGGUGAAAUGCGUAGAUAUAUGGAAGAACACCAGUGGCGAAAGCGGCUCUCUGGUCUGUAACUGACGCUGAGGUUCGAAAGCGUGGGUAGCAAACAGGAUUAGAUACCCUGGUAGUCCACGCCGUAAACGAUGAAUGCUAGGUGUUGGAGGGUUUCCGCCCUUCAGUGCCGCAGCUAACGCAAUAAGCAUUCCGCCUGGGGAGUACGACCGCAAGGUUG
Molecule: ribosomal RNA, 551 nt
Filed under: uncultured bacterium
Lineage: Bacteria
Description: bacterial SSU rRNA
Rfam family: Bacterial small subunit ribosomal RNA
Source: RNAcentral